AGCAGCCGCGGUAAUCCAGCUCCAAUAGCGUAUAUUAAAGUUGUUGCAGUUAAAAAGCUCGUAGUUGAAUUUCGGGGUUAGUAGGUUGGUCAUGCCUCUGGUAUGUACUGGUCUCACUGAUUCCUCCUUCCUGAUGAACCGUAAUGCCAUUAAUUUGGUGUUGCGGGGAAUUUGGACUGUUACUUUGAAAAAAUUAGAGUGUUUAAAGCAAGCUAACGCUUGAAUACAUUAGCAUGGAAUAAUGAAAUAGGACGUUCGAUCCUAUUUUGUUGGUUUCUAGGGUUGACGUAAUGAUUAAUAGGGAUAGUUGGGGGCAUUAGUAUUCAAUUGUCAGAGGUGAAAUUCUUGGAUUUAUUGAAGACUAACUACUGCGAAAGCAUUUGCCAAGGAUGUUUUCAUUAAUCAAGAACGAAAGUUAGGGGAUCGAAGACGAUCAGAUACCGUCGUAGUCUUAACCAUAAACUAUGCCGACUAGGGAUCGGAUGAUGUUAAUUUUUUAAUGACUCA
Molecule: ribosomal RNA, 507 nt
Filed under: uncultured Glomus
Lineage: Eukaryota; Fungi; Glomeromycota; Glomeromycetes; Glomerales; Glomeraceae
Description: SSU rRNA
Rfam family: Eukaryotic small subunit ribosomal RNA
Source: RNAcentral